This 50-nucleotide transfer RNA is filed under the name Odorrana graminea (large odorous frog). RNAcentral's name for it is "partial tRNA-Met". Lineage: Eukaryota; Metazoa; Chordata; Amphibia; Anura; Ranidae. The record is from RNAcentral.
GCUUUUGGGCCCAUACCCCAACAAUGUCGGUUAAACCCCCUCCUUUACUA